UUAUUGUGAUAGUCUGUUUUCUGUCUAGUUGUGCUUCCUGUGUUUUCCCGCCUGUGUGAUUGUCUAAUGUACUCCACCUAUUCCCCAUCCCUGGUGUCACCUGUCCCGUGUUUGCUCAUUACCUAGUUUAUUUAGCUCCUGUGUGUUCUUUGUCUUGUGUCAGAUCUUUUUUGUGUCCUUGUCUUGUCAGUUGUGUGUUUUUUGUAUCCUGUCAGCGUGUUUUAGCCUGGUGCCUUUGCUUUGCAUUUUUCCCUGUGUUAUUUUGUUACGUUUUUUUCUCUGAGUUUUCUUCCCUGGGUUUUUUCCAGCCUCAGUGCUGCCGUGUUUUUGUUCAAUAAAUCCUUGAGUUCAAACCUUCUGCCUGCCUCUCCCUGCAUUUGGGUCCUUUUAAUCCCCGGAAACCUAACCAAAAUGUCUACAAAGACGUCCUCCAACCUCCCAGCUGGUUUCUAUAAAGAUGGCUCCUUCAUCAGGACUGAGCCUGCAGGUCACAUGACCAUCCACCAUGUUUCCAGGUCUGAUGAAGGCCUCUACAAGUGUCUCAUCAGCAGUGUUGGAGAGUCUCCACCCAGCUGGGUCUCUGUCACAGAGAAACCUACAUCCACAAGCCCUCCUUCGACAAGCACUCUGCCGCCCCGUUACAAAACCUCAGACCCCUCCCCCUUGUGAUCAGACUGGUCUGCCACCUGGUGGUGUUCUGUCCGUACUGCAUCUCCACUUUCAUCAUGGUGUCUUUAUAUCGACACAGGGCCACAGGAAAUGGCCUACCUGUUGCCAUGGUGAUGACCUCGCCCACCCAGGCUGAGGAGGGAUUGGAUGAUGAAUAUGAGAAUGACAUCACCGCUGUCACCAGAGAGCAUCACUUCUGAACUGAUCUGAAAAGAAGCUGAAAUCUCCGUAGAUCAGAAACAGUUCCCCCGGCCGUCUUAAUAUAAUUAUGAUUUAAACAUAUUCAAUAUGAAAUUAUUGCUUUAAGUUUGAAUUGCUUCUUUACUGCCAGCCACAGCUAUCUCUGUAAUCCUGAAUAUUUUAUAUUAUAACAUUAAAGCUUUUUUUUUUCAA
Perca fluviatilis (European perch) is the source of this 1062-nucleotide long non-coding RNA. RefSeq lists it as uncharacterized. Lineage: Eukaryota; Metazoa; Chordata; Actinopteri; Perciformes; Percidae. The transcript has 3 exons. The record is from RefSeq and is a predicted model, not a curated record.